This is a small nucleolar RNA of Psammomys obesus (fat sand rat), 145 nucleotides long. RefSeq annotates it as small nucleolar RNA SNORA48. The transcript has a single exon. Lineage: Eukaryota; Metazoa; Chordata; Mammalia; Rodentia; Muridae. The record is from RefSeq and is a predicted model, not a curated record.
AGCCUCCUGGCAAUGGGUAAAGAGACAACUUGUUGGUGAUAUUGUUCUUAUAUCAAUCGAGGGCAGAGCAGAUAGCAGUCCUUUGUUCAUCCUAGCUUGAGGCCUAGCAUGUUGCCUGAAGCUGUCUUAUGCCUAGGACUCAUAA